This 41-nucleotide ribosomal RNA is filed under the name Fusarium sp. Its description in RNAcentral is "partial 28S ribosomal RNA". RNAcentral also lists the same sequence under 1 other name. The record is from RNAcentral. Lineage: Eukaryota; Fungi; Ascomycota; Sordariomycetes; Hypocreales; Nectriaceae.
UGUUGACCUCGGAUCAGGUAGGAAUACCCGCUGAACUUAAG